UAAUUGCCAGUUGACAGCUUCUAAGUGAAUGGCAAUGAAGUUGUGCGAGUUUAUACUCACUUUGAUUUCAGACCUGCUUGUUUGAGCAACCCUGUGAGGUGAUUUGGGCUGAGAGAGUGACUGGCCCAAAGUCACCUAGCCAGCAUUCAUACGGUCAUGCAGAUAGAAGAAUUGGAUGUAUUCCUGUACUACAAUCUUGUGAUUAUAUGGAAAUAGAAAGAGAGAAGCACUACAUGAAGAAAAAAAGAAAGAGAAAGAGAAAGAGGAAGAGGAAGACAGGGAAGCUAAAGAUGGAUUACAAAUGGCAUGAUUUAUGUUUUACUGGAAAAAAAAUCCUUUGCAAACUGAAAACAGAACAAGAGUACAGUUGUCCUUUGCAUGUUUCCAAAAAUCUCCCAUGCCAUCUUCCAAAUAACAAAAAGAAAAAAAAAAGAAAAAAGAAAGAAAAGAAAAGAAAAAGCUGAAGUUGCAAAGCAGUUAAAGGGAGACAAGAAGUUUGGCUCAGAUUCUGUUACAGAGGAUUCCAUCUGAUGUCUAUCCGCUGGCAAAAGGAAUCAAUCAGCAGAACAAGAGGGAAAGUAAUUUGAAGCAAUUCUUCUUCACAUUCUUUUUCUUCCCUUCCUGGCACUUGCAGUUCCUUAACUUGUCCCCAAAUCAUUUUGCACCAAAUUCAGGAGGAUAUGGAAGCUGAUAAAAGACUGCAUAAUCAAAAAUACCCUUCCCCCCUUCAUGUCACUGAUGGAUACUUUCUGCGUGCAAAGUAUCACCAAUUGGAUUAACCAUCCAAGAAGUUCAUGAAGCAACUAGGUAAUGCUGAUUCAAGCAAAGGUUAUACUCAAUUUUCUAUGCAUUAUGGGAUGAAGAUGGGAGCAUUAAUGUUGGAUGUAAGCAUAGUCUCUCUCAAGACCUAUACAUUCAAGGUUACUCUGAUGGAAAUCCUAUGGAUUGCCCUUGUACUCACUAUAAAAUCUGUAUCUUUAGCACUGUGACUGUAAAGAAUAAAGCAAUAAGCCUAAAUUUAUUAUUAUGAAAUUAAACAUAAUUUAAUUCA
This is a long non-coding RNA of Pantherophis guttatus, 1051 nucleotides long. RefSeq lists it as uncharacterized. The record is from RefSeq and is a predicted model, not a curated record. NCBI's taxonomy places the organism in Eukaryota, Metazoa, Chordata, Lepidosauria, Squamata, Colubridae.